ACAAAUAAAUUUAUAGCAAAUUUCAUUUUUAACUGAAAAAUCAAAUUGAUCCUAUUAAAUUUGAUUUUUUAUUCAGUAUUCAUUUUAAAAGAUUUCAGUUUUUCGAUUGUCAUUUUUUUUCUUUUAUAGAUAUAUAUCCUCCUCUCUCUUGCUCUCUAAAGCCUCCCAGCCUCUCCUUCACACUACUCGUGUCUCUCUUUUAAGCCAUUCCAGCCGCUCCUUCAUGCCACUCCAAUGCAAUUCCUUGUUCUUCCUUGCCUUCCUGUGGUGAUCGAAAAAGGAUUACCUCCGCCUUGUCUAGUCUUGUCCCUCUAUCAGUUCUCCAUUCUUGACCUCAAAUCUGUAGAGUCCUCACAAUUGAUUGUUGAUUGAAUCGUCCCAGAUUGAUUUGGUUCAUCAAUUUGAAGAGGUUGUCAACAAAGAUCAAUUAGCCAUUCACAACCUUCUCAUUCCCAAAAUAGAAUCCCAUUAUCCCAAUAAAAUUUACAACUACAAAAUAAUUAAAUGCACAAUUUCAAUUUGCAACACUGAGAAAUAAAAAAUCUUAAUCAAUAAAAGAUUUCAUAGCCCACUAGAUUUUCAAAACAGAAUCCCCAUUAUCCACAACUACAAAAUCACCACAUGCACAAUCUCAAUUUUAAUUACAAUUUGCAAUACUAAAAACUCAUAGAAUUUAAGCAAUUAAAGAAGAGUGAAUGAUUUGCUUAAAAAUAAAUCACACGAACGACAUCAUUGAGACCCUAGCAUAGCGAUUGAAUCUAGAAGUGAAUGGCCUUACCUUGAGCAACUUAGCAGCCACUAACGAUGAUGCAGAAAGAAGAGGAGGAGGAAAAAAAUGAAUCACACGAACGACAUCGUUGAGACCAUAGCAUAGCGAUUGAAUCUAGAAGUGAAUGGCCUUACCUUGAGUAACUUAGCAGCCACUAACGAUGAUGCAGAAAGAAGAGGAGGAGGAAAAAAAUGAAUCACAAGCCACAUUUCUGAUCAACACUCAUAGCCCACAACUCAAUCAACAAUCGAUUGUGAGGACUCCAUAAAUUUUUGAGAUGGAGAAUGGAGAACUGAUAGAGGAACAUGACUAGAUGAGGCAGAGACAAUCCUUCUUCAGUCGCCGCAAGGAGGAAAGGAAGAACAAGGAAUUGCAUUAGAGUGGCGUGUAAGAGAAACUGAAAUGGCUUGAAGGAGAGAUACAAGUGGCGUGAAGGAGA
This 1208-nucleotide long non-coding RNA is filed under the name Manihot esculenta (cassava). RNAcentral describes it as "long non-coding RNA (MESC_LNC001224)". Lineage: Eukaryota; Viridiplantae; Streptophyta; Magnoliopsida; Malpighiales; Euphorbiaceae. The record is from RNAcentral.